Molecule: transfer RNA, 71 nt
Filed under: Ictidomys tridecemlineatus (thirteen-lined ground squirrel)
Lineage: Eukaryota; Metazoa; Chordata; Mammalia; Rodentia; Sciuridae
Description: Spermophilus tridecemlineatus (thirteen-lined ground squirrel) tRNA
Rfam family: tRNA
About the family: Transfer RNA (tRNA) molecules are approximately 80 nucleotides in length. Their secondary structure includes four short double-helical elements and three loops (D, anti-codon, and T loops).
Source: Rfam by way of RNAcentral
GGGGCUGUAGCUCAGUGGUAGAGCACUUGCCUAGCAUGUGUGAGGUCCUGGGUUCAUACUCAGCAUCGCCA